RNAcentral lists this ribosomal RNA (505 nucleotides) under uncultured bacterium. RNAcentral's name for it is "partial 16S ribosomal RNA". It matches the Rfam family "Bacterial small subunit ribosomal RNA", at positions 28 to 507 of the family's 1533-position model. The record is from RNAcentral.
GACGAACGCUGGCGGCGUGCCUAAUACAUGCAAGUCGAACGCACAGUUUAUACCGUAGCUUGCUACACCAUAGACUGUGAGUUGCGAACGGGUGAGUUACGCGUAGGUAACCUGCCUGGUAGCGGGGGAUAACUAGUGGAAACGCUAGCUAAUACCGCAUACUAUUGAUUAUUGCAUGAUAAUUUAUUGAAAGUUGCUAUUGCCUCACUACCAGUUGGACCUGCGUUGUAUUAGCUAGUAGGUGAGGUAACGGCUCACCUAGGCGACGAUACAUAGACGACCUGAGAGGGUGAUCGGCCAGACUGGGACUGAGACACGGCCCAGACGCCUACGGGAGGCAGCAGUAGUGAAUCUGGGGCAAUGGACGAAAGUCUGACCGAGCAACGCCGAGUGAGGGAAGAAGGUCGCCGGGUCGUAAAGCUCUGUUGUAGGAGAGGAACGGGUGUGAGAGUGGAAAGUUCACACUGUGACGGUAACGGACCAGAAAGGGACGGCUAACUACGUG